CACUGCAGAAGAGGGAUACCAGGAGGCCUCCUGCAUCCAGACGCUCAGGACACAAAGGAACACAGACUUAGCAGAAAGGACAUUUGACCUCAAAACUCUACUUACACGAAUCAACAGACGUUUGUGCAAAAAUUUAAGUCAAGGACGUUCAUCAGCGCAUGAUCAAUAAUGGAAAAUUGGAAACAACCUAAAUGGCAAACAGUUAAGGAUACGCUAAAUCCCUUCUUUGGAAAGGGCAAAAGGAAAGCACAAGGUAGAAAAUAAAACUCACCCGUAAAUAUCCAUACCUAGAAAGAACCACAAUUUGAUUGCUGGAAUGUUGUCUUUCCAACUUUUUUUCCUACACAUCUUCAUGAAUUUGGGGGUUGUUAAUAUAAAAUUGGGACCAUAAUAAAUAUACUGACUUACAGUCUGACUUGUUUUAUGUAGCAAACAUUGUAAAUAUUUUCAUGCCAUUAAAUAUUGUUCUACGACAUA
Molecule: long non-coding RNA, 477 nt
Organism: Neogale vison (American mink)
Lineage: Eukaryota; Metazoa; Chordata; Mammalia; Carnivora; Mustelidae
Exons: 2
Source: RefSeq, a predicted model, not a curated record